AUUGAACGCUGGCGGCAGGCCUAACACAUGCAAGUCGAGCGGAUGAAGGGAGCUUGCUCCUGGAUUCAGCGGCGGACGGGUGAGUAAUGCCUAGGAGUCUGCCUGGUAGUGGGGGAUAACGUCCGGAAACGGGCGCUAAUACCGCAUACGUCCUGAGGGAGAAAGUGGGGGAUCUUCGGACCUCACGCUAUCAGAUGAGCCUAGGUCGGAUUAGCUAGUUGGUGGGGUAAAGGCCUACCAAGGCGACAAUCCGUAACUGGUCUGAGAGGAUGAUCAGUCACACUGGAACUGAGACACGGUCCAGACUCCUACGGGAGGCAGCAGUGGGGAAUAUUGGACAAUGGGCGAAAGCCUGAUCCAGCCAUGCCGCGUGUGUGAAGAAGGUCUUCGGAUUGUAAAGCACUUUAAGUUGGGAGGAAGGGCAGUAAGUUAAUACCUUGCUGUUUUGACGUUACCAACAGAAUAAGCACCGGCUAACUUCGUG
Molecule: ribosomal RNA, 484 nt
Filed under: uncultured bacterium
Lineage: Bacteria
Description: partial 16S ribosomal RNA
Rfam family: Bacterial small subunit ribosomal RNA
Source: RNAcentral